GCUCUAGUGGCGCAAUGGUUAGCGCGUUUGGCUGUUAAAGGCGAAGUGCAUCGAAUUGACUGUUACCAAAAGGUUGGUGGUUCGAGUCCACCCUGGAGCG
Non-coding RNA from Paraphysoderma sedebokerense, 100 nucleotides. The record is from the annotation of a GenBank genome assembly. NCBI's taxonomy places the organism in Eukaryota, Fungi, Blastocladiomycota, Physodermatomycetes, Physodermatales, Physodermataceae.